ACUCCUACGGGAGGCAGCAGUGGGAAUAUUGCACAAUGGGGAAGGCCAUCGAUGCAGCCAUGCCGCGCUGUGUGAAGAAGGCCAAUCGGGCUUGGUUAAAGACACUUUCAGUAGGGAGGAAGGUAGUGUAGUUAACACCUGCAUUAUUUGACGUUACCUACAGAAGAAGCACCGGCUAACUCCGUGCUAGCAGCCGCGGUAAUACGGAGGGUGCGAGCGUUAAUCGGAAUUACUGGGCGUAAAGCGCAUGCAGGCGGCCUGUUAAGUCAGAUGUGAAAGCCCGGGCUUAACCUCGGAAUUGCAUUUGAAACUGGCAGGCUAGAGUCUUGUAGAGGGGGUGAGAAUUGAUCAGGUGUAGCGGUGAAAUGCGUAGAGAUCUGAAGGAAUACCAGUGGCGAAGGCGGCCCCCUCG
RNAcentral lists this ribosomal RNA (412 nucleotides) under uncultured bacterium. RNAcentral's name for it is "bacterial SSU rRNA". It matches the Rfam family "Bacterial small subunit ribosomal RNA", at positions 335 to 732 of the family's 1533-position model. The record is from RNAcentral.